This 218-nucleotide long non-coding RNA is filed under the name Nicotiana benthamiana. RNAcentral describes it as "long non-coding RNA (NBEN_LNC034377)". Lineage: Eukaryota; Viridiplantae; Streptophyta; Magnoliopsida; Solanales; Solanaceae. The record is from RNAcentral.
AUAUCACGUGCCUUCCUUUCCCUUGCUUUAGCCAACCGGAAUAACUUCUUAUCCCCGCCUCUCUUCCCCAGUUCCUCAUACAUGCGACCGAACGCCGCGUUUUUAGCUUCCGUGACUGCCAUCUUUGCUUCUUUUCUUGCCUCCUUGUAGAUCACCCUGUUCGCUCUCCGUUCCUCCUCGCUUGUGCUCCCUGCCAACCUAGCGAACGCCGCCUUCUU